Molecule: long non-coding RNA, 1042 nt
Filed under: Cairina moschata (Muscovy duck)
Lineage: Eukaryota; Metazoa; Chordata; Aves; Anseriformes; Anatidae
Description: domestica (muscovy Duck (domestic type)) lncRNA (ENSCMMG00000016891.1)
Source: RNAcentral
CAGAGAGUGGGGCAGCACCCAGCAUUGCAAAAUUUAUUAGUUUUCAUAUGAAAACAGACUCUCUGUCCACAGCUGGGUUCAUAAUACUUUUAUCUUUCUUUUAACAGACAUACAGAUAUCUAAGGAGAUCAUCAGGAAACGUAAAUCAAAUGGACGUUUUACUAGCAAAGAAGUUAUUUUCACCGAUGAACAGACUGAAUAUUGCAGACUAAUGCCACCAGAGAAACAUAACAUCACUGAUGCCACAAGCCUAGUGCAAGAACACGGGAGACAAGCAGCAAGCAGAGGUAGCACACAGUCCCAAAGCACAGACUUUAGGGUGCCUUCUGGAGACAGACCAACAUCAAAAUCUUCGGCCAGAAGGGCUGAACCAACAGAUUUGUGUGAUCUCUCUGAAGAUUUCAGCAAGAAGGUCUACUGGCUAGCAGCAGUUUGUCUCCUUGUAACCGUGGGAGUUCUGUGCUGGACCAGGCUACGGCACCAGCUGGGGAAUUACUACUGGCUUUCCCUUGUCCUUAUGACAUCUAUUGCUACUGUUAUCCUGAGCUCAGUUGUCAGCCAAAUUAUUUCAAAAAAUGCUUUUUGCACUUGGACAGUGACAGUAACUGGAACUGUAAUAAUUGGAAUUAUUUCAAAUUUCUAUGAAACAGUGACUAUAAUGCAAGUUGGAGGAAUAACUGCAUUUGCCACCCUGUUACUGUUUUUAUUUGCUCUGAAGACAAAUAAACCCCUGACAAACAUGACCAUAUCAACCACUACAAGCAUCCUGGGCACUGCUGGGGCAAUCGUUUGUGUCCUUAGAAAUUCAUACGUGUUCCAGGCUCUAUAUGCUCUAUUUGGAAUGCUGCUCUUUGCUACUGAUCUGACGAGGACAGUAGCUGAGCUUGAAAGUCAACCAACAACCAACAAAAAAGUCACAAAGUCAAAGCUUGAAAGCCAACCAACAAAAAUGCAACGUCCCAUGGACUAUGCUGAGGCAGCACAAAGACUUGUCAUAUCUAUUGCUAUGAUCUUCUUCUUCACUUUGCUAUUAGUUGCUUGA